This 3006-nucleotide long non-coding RNA is filed under the name Sus scrofa (pig). Its description in RNAcentral is "lncRNA (ENSSSCG00045037982.1)". The record is from RNAcentral. Lineage: Eukaryota; Metazoa; Chordata; Mammalia; Artiodactyla; Suidae.
GGGCCACACCCACAGAAAAUGGAAGUUCCCAGGCUAGGGUCUAAUCAGAGCUACCACUGCCAGCUUACGCCACAGCCACAGCAAUACGGGAUCCAAGCCACAUCAGUGACCUACACCACCACUCACGGCAACGCCAGAUCCUUAACCCACUGAGCAAGGCCAGGGAUCAAACCCGCAACCUCAUGGUUCCUAGUUAGAUUCUUUUCCACUGAGCUACGAGGGGAACUCCUUUUUCCUUCUUUUUAUUUUGAGAUAUAACAAGCAGGCUUUAAGGCAAAAGAUAUUACUGAAGAUAAAGAGGGAUACCAAGGACGAUAAAAGUAACAUUUUAAUGAAUGUAUAAUAAACCUAAUUUUUAUACGCUAUAGAAAUCCUUUAUUAGACAAAUGUUUUAUAUAUAUUUUCUCCCAACUAUUAGCUAGUCUGAAGGUUUUUCUAAUAACAGCUUUAUUGAAUUCUAAUUCACACACCAUCCUACAUACCUAUUUAACGUGUACAAUUUGGAGUUCCUGUUGUGGCUCAGUGGUAACAAACCUGACUAGUAUCCACAAGGAUGCAGGUUCAAUCCCUGGCCUCGCACAGUGUGUUAGGGUUCCAGCAUUGCUGUGAGCUGUGUUGCAGGUUACAGACACAGCUCAGAUCCUGAGUUGCUGUGGUGUGGUGUAGGCUGGCAGCUGUAGCUCCAAUUCAGUCCCUAGCCUGGGAACUUCCAUGCGCCGCAGGUGCAGCUAAAUAAAUAAAUAAAUAAAAUAUACAAUUCAAAGCUUUUUAAUGCAUUCACAGAUUUGUGCAGUCAUCACCACAAUCAAUUUCAGAAUAUUUUCAUCACCCCUUAAAAAGCCUUGUACCCAUUACCCUGCUCCAAUCUCUAGUCCCAGGUAUCCACUGAUCUAUUUUCCAUGUACAGAUUUGUCUCUUCUGGACAUUUCACAAAAAUGGAAGCAUAUAAUAUGUGGUGCUUUGUGAUCUGGCUAAGUUUUGUCCAAUUACAGCAUCUGGCUCAAAGUCCAGUUUUUGUGCUCAGUACCAGAUCUGGUACAACUCCUUUGGUGUGACUGCUCGAGACAUGAACUAAAAUCACCUGCCACACAGACACCCAACAUGCAAUGGUGAGAAAGAAAGGCUAACUACAACAGAGUCUUGUUAUAUAGAAGAAUGGGAGACACAUGCCAGUUACUUGUUGGCAGCAGUCUUGGAAUUCUGCUGGGCAGUGUUGCCAGGACCUUCCACUCCCAUGGGAGAGAAUGUUCCUUGAUUAGGACCCAGUUUGUCUCCUGGGGAGUGGCUCCUAGUCUAUCAUUCUGCACCACCCUUGGUUAUACAGACUUGGAUCCUGGUCAGAGCCCCCCAUGGGAAAAGUGCUGAGUGUGGGUCCCCUGUGCUUCUGGUCCAGCCCCCUUCACCCUCUCAUUUGCCUGGUGCUCCCCCAAAGCCCAUCUUAUUUAAGAUUCUUAUUAAGCAAGCUCUUGUGGGACAUUCAUGCUAUCAGAAAAGUAAGCAAACUAAAUUACUUAACCUUUACAAUGUUUAUUAUUUAAAAUAGGAUACUAGUCUGGUUCAUUACUGUGGCUCAGCAGUAACAAACCAGACUAGUAUCAGUGAGGAUUUAGGUUUGAUCCCUAGGCUCGCUCAGUGGGUUAAGGAUCCAGCUAGUUUGCCCCAAGCUGUGGUACAGCUCUCAGACUCGGUUCAGAUCCCGUGUUGCUGUGGCUGUGGUGUAGGCUGGCAGCUGCCCCGCUCUGAGCUAACCCCUAGAGUGGGUAUAUGCUACACAUGAGGCCCUAAAAACCAAAAUAAAAUAAAAUAAAAUAAAAUAAAAUAGGACUCACACACACUUUCAAAACGCCAGAAAAAGGAGCUCCCUUGUGGUGUAGCAGAUUAAGGAUCUGGCUGUGUCACUGAAGAAGUUUGGGUCACUGCUGUGGCACAGAUUCAAUCCCCAGCCCAGGAACUUCCACAUGCUGCAGGCAUGGGGAAAAAAAAAAAAAAAAAGCCACCAGAAAAGUAGGAGAGUAGCUACAAUCCUGGCUAUACAGUAAGCCACAUAACUCAGAAGUCCUAGAAGGAGUUCCCGUCAUGGCGUAGUGGUUAACGAAUCCGACUAGGAACCAUGAGGUUGCGGGUUCGGUCCCUGGCCUUGCUCAGUGGGUUGAGGAUCUGGCGUUGCUGUGAGCUGUGGUGUAGGUUGCAGACGUGGCUCGGAUCCCGCGUUGCUGUGGCUCUGGCAUAGGCCGGUGGCUACAGCUCAGAUUCAACCCCUAGCCUGGGAACCUCCAUAUGCCGCGGGAGUGGCCCAAAGAAAUAGCAAAAAGACCAAAAAAAAAAAAAAAAGAAGAACACUCUCACGCAUUCGACAAUAUUCAUUUGGUGUUAAAAAAAAAAAAAGUUGUUUUUCCUGGGAGUUCCCUGGUGGCCUAUCGGUUAAGGAUUUGGCAUCAUCACUGCUGUGGCUGGGGUUUGAUCCCUGGCCCAGGAACUUUUGCAUGCUGUGGGUACAACCAAAAAAAUAAAAUAAAAAAUGGAAAGUUUCUCAUACAGCAUCUCUUCAUUUGGCUCUCCUGCUUUGUAUUCUACCAUGAAGCAGCAACAAAUUCCAGCUUCCAGUGACAGCUUCCCCAACUAAAAUUAUAAACACUAAAUUCAACAAGCAAGAUUCAAGGGAUGCAAUGAGAAGGUAAUUUUAUUUGUGAUCAUUGUGUCCUCUUAAAUUUUUUCCAGAAAUGACCCUUAAAUAUAUGAAAAGAUGCAUACCUCCUCUAGUAAGAAAGAUGUGAAUUAAAAUUAUGAUGAGACUCCAUUUCUCACCUACCAAAAAUUGGCAAAAUUCCAAAAGUUUACACUGCAUUGUUAUUGAAGCUUUGGGAAAAGAGAUUCUCUCAUAUACUGUCUCAUACAUUGUAGGAUUUAUAAGGAUACAACUUCUAUGAAGGCUAUUUUAGCAAUAUUUACCAAAAUUGCAAAUCCAUUUACCCCUGACUCAGAAAUUCCACGUUGAGAAAUGAGUCC